CCUACGGGUGGCAGCAGUGGGGAAUAUUGGGCAAUGGGCGCAAGCCUGACCCAGCAACGCCGCGUGAAGGAAGAAGGCUUUCGGGUUGUAAACUUCUUUUGUCAGGGAAGAGUAGAAGACGAUGCCUGACGCAUCAGCCACGGCUAACGACGUACCAUCAGCCGAGUUAAUACGUAGGUGGCAAGCGUUUUCCGGAUUUACUGGGUGUAAAGGGCGUGUAGCCGGGUUGACAAGUCAGAUGUGAAAUCCGGCGGCUUAACCGCAGAACUGCAUUUGAACCUGUGGAUCUUGAGUACUGGAGAGGCAGACGGAAUUCCUAGGGGAGCGGUGAAAUGCGUAGAUAUUAGGAGGAACACGAGUGGCGAAGGCGGUCUGCUGGACAGCAACUGACGGUGAGGCGCGAAAGCGUGGGGAGCAAACAGGAUGAGAUACCCGUGUAGUC
Molecule: ribosomal RNA, 442 nt
Filed under: uncultured bacterium
Lineage: Bacteria
Description: partial 16S ribosomal RNA
Rfam family: Bacterial small subunit ribosomal RNA
Source: RNAcentral